AACGAACGCUGGCGGCAUGCCUAACACAUGCAAGUCGAACGAGACCUUCGGGUCUAGUGGCGCACGGGUGCGUAACGCGUGGGAACCUGCCCUUAGGUUCGGACUAACUCCCCGACAGGGGUGCUAAUACCGGAUAAUGUCUUCGGACCAAAGAUUUAUCGCCUUUGGAUGGGCCCGCGUUGGAUUAGCUCGUUGGUAGGGUAAAAGCCUACCAAGGCGACGAUCCAUAGCUGGUCUGAGAGGAUGAUCAGCCACACUGGGACUGAGACACGGCCCAGACUCCUACGCGAGGCAGCAGUGCGGAAUAUUGGACAAUGGGCGAAAGCCUGAUCCAGCAAUGCCGCGUGAGUGAUGAAGGCCGUAGGGUUGUAAAGCUCUUUUACCCGGGAUGAUAAUGACAGUACCGGGAGAAUAAGCUCCGGCUAACUCCGUG
Molecule: ribosomal RNA, 433 nt
Filed under: uncultured bacterium
Lineage: Bacteria
Description: partial 16S ribosomal RNA
Rfam family: Bacterial small subunit ribosomal RNA
Source: RNAcentral